AGAGAGAGACAUGCGCGCAUAUCAAUAAGCGGAGGAAAAGAAACUAACAAGGAUUCCCCUAGUAACGGCGAGUGAAGCGGGAAGAGCUCAAAUUUGAAAUCUUAAAGGGUUUCCCUUUACGAAUUGUAGUUUAAAGAAGUGUUUUCUGUUGAGGUUUUGGUAAAAGUUCUUUGGAAUAGGACAUCAUAGAGGGCUGAGAAUCCCGUAUUUGACCUUUACUUUCAACUUUGUGAUACACUUUCAAAGAGUCGGAUUGUUUGGGAAUGCAGUCCAAAAUGGGUGGUAAAUUUCAUCUAAAGCUAAAUAUUGGCGAGAGACCGAUAGCGAACAAGUACCGUGAGGGAAAGAUGAAAAGAACUUUGAAAAGAGAGUUAAACAGUACGUGAAAUUGUCAAAAGGGAAGCGUUUGACACCAGUGUUGUUUUUCUGAAAAUCAAUUAAAGAACUGUUUAUGCUAAGCUGUUUAGACUUUAUCAGCUAACUGUUUAGUUUUGAGCCUUUCUUUAAUGCACUUGUCAGUUAACAAGUCAACAUCAAUUUCUUUUGCUGUAAAAAAGCUUGAGGAAGGUGGCUUGAGAUUCGUCUUAAGUGUUUAUAGCCUCUUGCCUAUGCAGUCGGAGAGAUUGAGGUCUGCAGCGUAGAUCCUUCGGGGCUAAAUGCAUUUGUGCUAAGUUAUAGCAUUUUAUAGACAACUUGUCGACUAUGAUUUGUCUUGUAGCUUACUCGCUUAUGUUAUUUUACCUACGCUUAGGAUGUUGACGCAUGAGAUAUACGC
This 775-nucleotide ribosomal RNA is filed under the name uncultured Neocallimastigales. RNAcentral describes it as "partial large subunit ribosomal RNA". It matches the Rfam family "Eukaryotic large subunit ribosomal RNA", at positions 23 to 647 of the family's 3401-position model. The record is from RNAcentral. Lineage: Eukaryota; Fungi; Neocallimastigomycota; Neocallimastigomycetes; Neocallimastigales.